AGUUAACGUUGGCGGCGUGCCUAACACAUGCAAGCCGAACGCGUCCUAAGGGCAACUUUAGGAUGAGUGGCGAACGGGUGAGUAUCACGUGGGUAAUCUUCCUUCAAGUGGGGAAUAAGCUCUCGAAAGGGAGUCUAAUACCGCAUGACAUUCCGGGACACAAGUCCCGUAAUCAAAGCCGCAAGGCGCUUGAAGAUGAGCCUGCGUCCUAUUAGCUAGUUGGUGGGGUAACGGCCUACCAAGGCUUAGAUGGGUAGCCGGCCUGAGAGGGUGAACGGCCACACUGGGACUGAGACACGGCCCAGACUCCUACGGGAGGCAGCAGUGAGGAAUUUUGCGCAAUGGGGGAAACCCUGACGCAGCGACGCCGCGUGGAGGAUGAAGGCCUUCGGGUCGUAAACUCCUGUCAGAGGUGAAGAAUACCCGCAAGGGUUUGACGGUAACCUCAGAGGAAGCCCCGGCUAACUACGUG
Molecule: ribosomal RNA, 472 nt
Filed under: uncultured bacterium
Lineage: Bacteria
Description: bacterial SSU rRNA
Rfam family: Bacterial small subunit ribosomal RNA
Source: RNAcentral